UAGCGCAGAGUGUCGUGCUGGAUGAGAACCUGUGCAGGUUCGACAAAAUUGCCCCGCCAAUUUUGAACAGCGCUUGCGCUGCCCGAAGGGUGAGGCCAAAGGCCGAGUUAAUCCCGCACGACCCACCA
RNAcentral lists this small RNA (128 nucleotides) under Serratia sp. (in: enterobacteria). Its description in RNAcentral is "Serratia sp. (metagenome) RtT sRNA". It matches the Rfam family "RtT RNA". Rfam says of the family: This family represents a bacterial cis-regulatory element known as RtT RNA. The exact function of RtT is unknown although it is thought that it may be involved in changing the cellular response in relation to amino acid starvation. RNAcentral also lists the same sequence under 1 other name. The record is from RNAcentral. Lineage: Bacteria; Pseudomonadati; Pseudomonadota; Gammaproteobacteria; Enterobacterales; Yersiniaceae.